GGUAGAGCCUCCGGACCUGGUGGCCGGCUCGGUCUUCAAAACCGAUGAGAGGCUGUGAGAGCAGUCUCUGGUGAGUUCGAUUCUCAUGCUCUACCGCCA
RNAcentral lists this transfer RNA (99 nucleotides) under Corallococcus sp. H22C18031201. Its description in RNAcentral is "tRNA-Sec". It matches the Rfam family "Selenocysteine transfer RNA". The record is from RNAcentral. Lineage: Bacteria; Pseudomonadati; Myxococcota; Myxococcia; Myxococcales; Myxococcaceae. RNAcentral also lists the same sequence under 3 other names.